This 486-nucleotide ribosomal RNA is filed under the name uncultured bacterium. RNAcentral describes it as "partial 16S ribosomal RNA". It matches the Rfam family "Bacterial small subunit ribosomal RNA", at positions 30 to 507 of the family's 1533-position model. The record is from RNAcentral.
AUUGAACGCUGGCGGCAUGCCUUACACAUGCAAGUCGAACGGCAGCACGGGUGCUUGCUCCUGUUGGCGAUUGGCGGACGGGUUCGUAAUACAUCUGCACCUGUCCUUUAGUUUGCGUUAGCCCUGCGAAAGCCGGAUUUAUACCGCAUACGAUCCCCGGAUGCAAGCGGGGGCCCUUCGGCCCUCGCCCUUUAGGGUUUGCCUAUGGCUGUUUCGCUUUUUGGUGGGGUAAAGGCCUACCAAGGCGACGACAAGUAGCUGGGCUGAGUGGACGAGCAUCCACACUUGGAAGGAGAAAAGGGCCAGAAGCCUAAGGGAGGGAGCAGGGGGGAAAUUUGGACAAUGGGGGGAAGGCUGAUCCAGCAAUGCCGCGUGUGGGAAAAAGGCCUUCGGGUUGGAAAGCACUUUUGUCCGGAAAGAAAAACUUGAAUCUAAAACAGUCGGGGGAUGACGGUACCGGAAGAAUAAGCACCGGCUAACUACGUG